CAUCCUUCUAGUUGCUUUAUGUGGGACACUGCCUCAGCAUGGCUUGAUGAGCAGUGAGGAGGUCCACGCCCAGCAUCCAAAUCAACUAACCCCAGUGAAAC
Ceratotherium simum simum (southern white rhinoceros) is the source of this 101-nucleotide non-coding RNA. NCBI's taxonomy places the organism in Eukaryota, Metazoa, Chordata, Mammalia, Perissodactyla, Rhinocerotidae. The record is from RefSeq and is a predicted model, not a curated record.